Molecule: ribosomal RNA, 263 nt
Filed under: uncultured bacterium
Lineage: Bacteria
Description: partial 16S ribosomal RNA
Rfam family: Bacterial small subunit ribosomal RNA
Source: RNAcentral
CUUAGUGGCGGACGGGUGAGUAACGCGUGGGUAACCUGCCUUAUACAGGGGGAUAACACUUAGAAAUAGGUGCUAAUACUGCAUAAGCGCACGGGGCUGCAUGGCCCAGUGUGAAAAACUCCGGUGGUAUAAGAUGGACCCGCGUCUGAUUAGCUUGUUGGCGGGGUAACGGCCCACCAAGGCGACGAUCAGUAGCCGGCCUGAGAGGGUGGACGGCCACACUGGGACUGAGACACGGCCCAGACUCCUACGGAAGGCAGCAG